GAGUUUGAUCAUGGCUCAGAUUGAACGCUGGCGGAAUGCUUUACACAUGCAAGUCGAACGGCAGCACGGACUUCGGUCUGGUGGCGAGUGGCGAACGGGUGAGUAACAUAUCGGAACGUAUCCAAUAAUGGGGGAUAACUAAUCGAAAGGUUGGCUAAUACCGCAUACGCCCUACGGGGGAAAGCUAGGGACCUUCGGGCCUGGCGUUAAUGGAGCGGCCGAUAUCUGAUCAGCUAGUUGGUGGGGUAAAGGCCCACCAAGGCGACGAUCAGUAGCUGGUCUGAGAGGACGACCAGCCACACUGGAACUGAGACACGGUCCAGACUCCUACGGGAGGCAGCAGUGGGGAAUUUUGGACAAUGGGCGCAAGCCUGAUCCAGCCAUUCCGCGUGAGUGAAGAAGGCCUUCGGGUUGUAAAGCUCUUUCGCAAGGGAAGAAAACUUAGAUACUAAUAUUAUCUGAGGUUGACGGUACCUUGAUAAGAAGCACCGGCUAACUACGUGCCAGCAGCCGCGGUAAUACGUAGGGUGCGAGCGUUAAUCGGAAUUACUGGGCGUAAAGCGUGCGCAGGCGGUUUUGUAAGUCAGAUGUGAAAUCCCCGAGCUCAACUUGGGAACUGCGUCCGAAACUACAAGACUAAAUAUGUCAGAGGGGGUAG
Molecule: ribosomal RNA, 658 nt
Filed under: uncultured bacterium
Lineage: Bacteria
Description: bacterial SSU rRNA
Rfam family: Bacterial small subunit ribosomal RNA
Source: RNAcentral